UGUUGGAUUGAUAGAUCACCCGACUCAAGUUAAAGCUGUUGGAUUGAUAGAUCAUCCGACUCAAGUUAAAGCUGUUGGAUUGAUAAAUCAGUCGACUCAAGUUGAAGCUAUUGCAUUGGAAUACCAGCCAACACAAGUUAAAGUUAUUAAACUUAAAAAUCAAUCGACUCAAGUUGAACCUGUUGAAAAGAAAAUAGACAACAAUCCCGAAG
This 212-nucleotide long non-coding RNA is filed under the name Mytilus galloprovincialis (Mediterranean mussel). Lineage: Eukaryota; Metazoa; Mollusca; Bivalvia; Mytilida; Mytilidae. The record is from RNAcentral.